CGGACGGGUGAGUAACGCGUGGGGAACCUGCCCUGUACAGGGGGAUAACACUUAGAAAUAGGUGCUAAUACCGCAUAAGCGCACAGUAUCGCAUGAUACAGUGUGAAAAACUCCGGUGGUACAGGAUGGACCCGCGUCUGAUUAGCUGGUUGGCGGGGUAAAGGCCCACCAAGGCGACGAUCAGUAGCCGGCCUGAGAGGGUGGACGGCCACAUUGGGACUGAGACACGGCCCAAACUCCUACGGAAGGCAGCAG
This 255-nucleotide ribosomal RNA is filed under the name uncultured bacterium. Its description in RNAcentral is "partial 16S ribosomal RNA". It matches the Rfam family "Bacterial small subunit ribosomal RNA", at positions 99 to 354 of the family's 1533-position model. The record is from RNAcentral.